CGGGCUGACCGAGCUGUUCGCCUAGCACGUUGCGCCAUCGGCCAUAUAAGAAACUGUGCAGGAUGUCGGAGGUGAUGACCUCUGCCAGCGCCAACCCCGGAGCCUUCAGCCCUGUUUUGAGCACCAGGGCCUCAGCUGGGAGCACAGAGCCCAUCAUGGGCGGCGGAGGGCUCGCCGCGGGCGCCGCCGAAGGACGGCUAGGUGGACUCCGGAGAGUGGAUUCUGCAUAGUCUUUCCAAGGUACCUGGGAGCCAGCUCCACACCUCUUCAGAAACAGUUGCUAAGUCGGGAAGAUCACGGCUUCCUGUGUGCACCGAAGUCUCCUGGAUAGCCUUAAGACUAUCCCCACACCUUCAGCUCCAGAAACGUUGGAGCGGCUUUGGGCACACCUCACUCAACAGCCUAAGUCCUCAGAGCCCCCUCCCCUACUCCCGCUGCAAUUUCAGGUGACGCAAAGGAAAGUUCCGCAGCCCUGGAGGCUGGUUUGUGUGAGUUCCCGUGUUAGGGCUCCACUGUACAGUGAAGACUCUUCAGGCCUUCGAAGCCCUGUGACUUGGGCGUGGAUAGCGCUGGCAGCUCGGGACUGAGAUUUGACCCACGAAUCAGAUUCUAAUGCCUAAUGCCGCUAGGAAAAGAACCCUUUCCACCACCAGCUCCCCAGAGCUAAGCUUGCCUCGCUCUUGGCAACCAUGGGAUCCCAGGUCUCUAUAAGCCCUAGUCGGAGCCAGUGGUCUGGCAUCCUCAGCCCGGCAGGCGGGAGACUAAAGCGCCAAGCCGGCGAUAGGAAGUCUUCCGAAGCAGAACCUCUGGAGCCCAGUGGAGAGUGGGUGUACCGGGCCGGGAGAGGGACCAACGGGCAGGGCGCCAGCAGAGGGCAGCGCUGCAGAGGAGCAAGGGCUGCCGGCGGGUAAGAGUUCCUUACAGAUGCCGCCGGUGAGUUAAAUCCUUUCGCGGAGAGGUCCAGUUUGGAGAGGAGUAUGGAAUCCAAUGGCUCGGUGGCAAGAGAGCCUGACCGGCGCCUGGAUCUAAGUGGAGAGGAGACUGAGCUGGGCAGAAGAAUGCCAGGACUGGGGCACUCAGCCUCCAACCCCGAAAGCCUUCCUCAGCGUUUGCGGCAGACUAAAGGGAACGGAAGACAGCAGAGCAUCCUGGGGACAGCCCUUCUCUUCUCCGGACCUCUGGGCUCCUGCCUGACAGUGGUUUGAGUUGAACUAUGUGCUGUGCUGUCUUCCCAGCCUGUCGCUCUUCGGAUCAGAUCGUUUGGCUUUCCCCGGCGCUGAGCAGGAUUCUUAACAAUUCCCUCGCUACACUCUACUGUGAAAUUCUCCCAGGUCCCAGAGUCCUUCAUGCCUGGGGCGAAUUUUCGUUCCAAUCCCAAGAUUGAAGUCAAAAGACAGAAAGACCGAAGGCUCUGACUGAGACCAGGACCCCCUUAUUACUUUCCUCAGGUCCCCCAAAACCUGGGGAAACUAUGCUGGAGGAGCCUAAACAGCCUUCUAGCUGGGGUGCCCACGGACCUGGAAUGUAGUUGCUGCGCUCUCAUUUUGAGCUUCUGGCCUAGUGAUAGUCCCACCUGGCCCUAUGCACCCUCAAAAUCAAGUCCUGCAGAGAGGACUGCCCACCGGGAUCGAACAGUAAGGCCUGUGAGCGCGCAUCUGUUUGCUUGGAGGCUUCGAGAAGAAAUGCUGCGGGUUCACAGUGAAGGAACCACGUCUCUGGGACCCAGGCGCCGAGUGUGCCUGCGCGAAGACCCCUCCCAUGGACCCGGCUGGGUCGGAGCUGCAAAGCACCGCCCCCGCCCCCUUGAUCGCGCCCGCGGGCUGUCGCUCGGCGAUCUCUUUAAUAUUCAUGGGCGUUAAUAGAGAGGCCCCCAGUAUAUCGGCCCAUUGUGGGCGGCUCGUAGGGCUUGAAUAGACCCUGGCCCUCUUUCUUCGCAGAGGCUUCCCGAGGGGCCGGGCCAGGAGUGAAUGGCCCCUCUUCCCGCUCCUCACCCACCCCCACCCCCUUUUCAGGGACAACAUCUUUAUCCCUGCUGCUGCUGCCGCCGCCGCCGCCGCCCGAGCCCCAUUCACUCGGCCCGGACUCUGGGCGGAACGAAUCAAUCGGCUGCGGUUCUUCGGAGGUCAUCUCCGCCGCCCGUGCCCCAUCCCCCAGCCCACGGGAGUGGGGACAAGGGAAGCAGCGGCCGGCCGACAGACCCACCAGCGAAGGGACCCAGAGUGGGGUGUAGAGGACAGGGCAGGAUAGGGUGGUAAUCGGAUGGGAACGAUCAGAAAGGGUGGCUGAGCCAAGGAACACCAAGAGGGUCUCAGGACCCCGCCUCGGCCAGGCAUUGCUAAUUCCAACUUGUUGCCUCUGGCAGGGAGCCCAGGGGACCAGGGCGGCAGUGCGAGCCCGGAGAUGAGUCCCGCGUCCCUUCCAGUCUCCAGCGUGCAUCCCUUCGGGUCCGCGUCCGCAACCGCGAGACCCGGAGCGUGGGAAGCAGCGGAGACUCUGGUCCAGCCCUCAGGGCACGUCGGUUUCUUUCAGUGCGAAUGGGCUUUGCUCCUUGAUGACCAGGUUGGGCCAUUCGGACCGCGGCAGCGUAGACCAAAUUCCAACCCUUAAACCAACGCCGGUCGUCCCAGGCCUCAGUGCCCCGGGCGCGAGUCGGUCAGGCAGGGCCAACUCGAUGGGUCCCCGCCCCUCCCGUCCCGGAGGCGCUAGGAGAAAAGAAGCCCAUUGUCCGCCAAGAAAUACAUUUUGGGGCCCCGGAGAGAAAGCUCCUGUUUUGAACUUUAGAAGAAAGUCUCCUGCCCUUGCCCCUCACAGGGAGAGAUUUGUCGUCCCACCAUCUCCAGGGCCUCAGAGCGCCGCCUCCUCCCGAAACAUCUGCCGGGGGAAAAUCCACCCUGGAGGGCAGAUCGUGCUGGCUUUAAGCCCCGAGAACUCAUUAAAAAGAUAUUAGCGGCGGGGGCAGGUCCCGCGCAGGUAUCGAUCGACCGGAAUGAGCCCGAGCGGGGCUGGGGGCUGGGGUGCGGGGACAAGAAAGCAAAGAAUGCGGCGGAUCUGUGUCCGGAACCCCCACCUGGGCUCAGUCUUGUACACCCGGGCCCUGCGCUGCCGAGCCUCCCGCGGCUCCCAGGACGCCCCCAGCCAUCCCGGCCCCGCCGGCUUCUUCCAGCUCCUUGCCAUUGCCUGAGGCUACAGGCACUCCCCCACUCCGCCCUGCUUUAAGGCUUCGCCCCAGCUUCCUGCUGGCUGUGCGCCUCUGUCUCGCACUGAGCUCCCGCCUUUCUGAAACCCUCUAGGCUUUCACCACCCCCAAACCCGGUCUCUCUCUUAGGCAACAAUUCUACCUCCUCUCCAUUCCAAACGGGGCUCAGGAAAUGCUCUCUUUAUAGGGGCCCAGGUGUACCCCCGCUCCCCGGUUCCGGUAGCUCCAGGGCGCCCCCGCGGGCGCGGACAAAGGCGCGACGGGCUGCCUAAACCGAAUGGGAACUCUUGCGGGCCGGGCGGUCUUCAACAGACGUGACUGGAGCAAGCCGCUGAGAGUCGGCUAUGGCUAGGAAAAGGGAGAUGGUGGUCUCCCUGUUAGCCCUAUCUCCACCCUAACUAACCUCUGAACCAGUGGGAGACAAAGACGCGCCCCGUACACUCACAUCGAGACCCCGAGCUGGAGCCUGGGCAGACAGAUGACCUGGGACUAGAGUUUCCCCGCGCGCCCAGAGCUAGAUGGCUGUUCUUCCUAAGGCGUCGCCCCCCCGACCCCCAUACCCGUACCCCAAUACCCAUGGCCCAGCCCUCUUCGGCCACCAUCCUGGCUGUGCACUGGAAAGACUCUGGAGGAGGCUGGGAACCAGGAGAAGCAAUGAUGGAUUGACCCAGGCUUCUGGAGGCAGAGGGCGCAGAGGUGGGGAGAGAGACUGAGGUAGAGGCAGAGAUGGGAGGAUACAGACAAAGUGAACAUCUGAGAGACUCGGACAACAGACAGGAUGAAGGAAGCAAAGAAUGGCAAGAAAGCCGGGACUAAGACCAUCAGAAGAAGUCAGAGGUACCGCUGAGAAGAAGUAGGGACUUCAGACACAAAAUGGGGAUACUGGCUAAAGGAUGCUCCAGGAAAGAUGCAGAGAGUGAAAGAGGAGAGGGAGACUGGAUGCCCUGGAGUCAAGGUGGCAGCCAUCAAGGGGCACCAAGGACCCCUUCCCAGGCUACUCACAUGUCUUUUCUCCCAGAGUCCCUUUUCCAUACCCACCCCCUGCAACCUCCAUCAUCUCAACCUUCCUGGUUUGUUUGUUUGUUUGUUUGUUUGUUUGUUUGAUUUUCCAAGUAGCUUCCCUGAAGGGCUUCCAGUUUCUAGCCCAGCCUCCCUGUGGUCUUGGUCGCCCACCCCCCAGAGCAGAAGGCCAGGAAGGAGGAACUGCCUGUGUCCCUACCAUCUGCCUCACCUGCUCCCUGGUGAAUGAGGGAGGCCUCCGGUUCCUUCUUUUUUGUGUCAGGUCCUGGACAGCUUGGAGCUUCCAGGGCAGAACCGGCCCUUGAUUUCUCAGAAUAGCUUACAGGAAGGUGCACCCUGGUGAACCAGGAGUGAUGGCAGCCUGCCUUAGCCUGGUGGUCCUGACCCUUGCUCUUUAGGGUCUGACACAUACUAGGUGCUGUGUCUAUGGAUGGCAGAUGGCUCUCUUUGUCAUGUUGGUGGCUUCUUGGCUUUAUCCACAGAUUAGAAACAAAAAACUUUCCUUUCCUAAAACCUUUGGUACCCGGACCAAGCUUAGGCUCCAGCUUCACAGACAGUGGACAUUGAAGCAAUGCCCAGAGCAUCCUCCUAACACUGCUUUCCUCCCCAGAGAUGCUUUGGGAACCUAUGGGGAAAUGCCCAGGGUUUCAAGUGUGCAUCCAAGCCAGGCUCUUGCAGAUUCUACCAAGAAAAGAACCAAGGCAGCCACUUCCCUUGUCUGUGUCUUUAUCUGCACUUCCCUUGUCUGUGUCUUUAUCUGCAAGAUGGGACUAAGGAAAGAAUCUCUACCUGAAAAUGGAAACCAAUCAGUAAGUAAGGAGAGGUCAGAAUGAAAGCAAGCAGAACAGGAGUCUAAGUAGUGUCUGCUAAGCACUGGUACUGUUUCCAGCAUUUGUCAUGACUCAUCUCAAGCCAUCCUCACCCCAUCACACCAACGUAACUGAUGGCUGUGGCAAGCCACAGAAGACGAUGUAUUUCUGGAGUAUUCCAUAUAUGGAAAAUAUCAUCAACUGUGUUCCACUUAAGACGACAACAAUUACAAAUGCUGGCAAGAUAGUUCAACCAGUAAGAGGGGCUUGCAGCCAACUCUGACAACUUGAGUUUGAUCCCUGGGAUGCAUGUGGUGUAAGGAGAGGACUGACUCCCUUGAGUUGUCAUAUACAAACACACAAAAUAAACAUUUUAUUUAAAAAUA
This 5411-nucleotide long non-coding RNA is filed under the name Mus spretus (western wild mouse). RNAcentral's name for it is "predicted gene 13425 (ENSMSPG00010047486.1)". Lineage: Eukaryota; Metazoa; Chordata; Mammalia; Rodentia; Muridae. The record is from RNAcentral.